CGGCUGAGUGUAUCCAUGGUCUCCCCAACAAACAGUUGUAGGAAGGCUUAAUAUCCAUUACCAGGAAGUCUACCUCAUAAGUAGUUGGGCCAAUCAUUAACGGUACUUCAAUUCUCCCGAUAACCCUCCUUUCUGUUCCAUUAAAUGCCCUUACUAUGCUCUAGCAUGCUUUUAUGUGUGAACUGUCCACUGGUAAUCGAUUAAGAGUGAAUAAAGGUAAUACGUUCAAUGCAGAUCCAUUAUUCACCAAGGCUCC
RNAcentral lists this long non-coding RNA (256 nucleotides) under Gossypium barbadense (sea-island cotton). Its description in RNAcentral is "long non-coding RNA (GBAR_LNC016745)". Lineage: Eukaryota; Viridiplantae; Streptophyta; Magnoliopsida; Malvales; Malvaceae. The record is from RNAcentral.